This 87-nucleotide transfer RNA is filed under the name Planctomycetaceae bacterium. Its description in RNAcentral is "tRNA-Ser". It matches the Rfam family "tRNA". From Rfam's summary of the family: Transfer RNA (tRNA) molecules are approximately 80 nucleotides in length. Their secondary structure includes four short double-helical elements and three loops (D, anti-codon, and T loops). Further hydrogen bonds mediate the characteristic L-shaped molecular structure. tRNAs have two regions of fundamental functional importance: the anti-codon, which is responsible for specific mRNA codon recognition, and the 3' end, to which the tRNAs corresponding amino acid is attached (by aminoacyl-tRNA synthetases). tRNAs cope with the degeneracy of the genetic code in two manners: having more than one tRNA (with a specific anti-codon) for a particular amino acid; and 'wobble' base-pairing, i.e. permitting non-standard base-pairing at the 3rd anti-codon position. Lineage: Bacteria; Pseudomonadati; Planctomycetota; Planctomycetia; Planctomycetales; Planctomycetaceae. The record is from RNAcentral. RNAcentral also lists the same sequence under 2 other names.
GGAUGGGUGGCCGAGUGGUCGAAGGCGGCAGUCUUGAAAACUGCUGUACCCGUGAGGGUACCCUGGGUUCGAAUCCCAGCCCAUCCG